AAUACAGUAGUUUGCCAAUUCCUAGUAAGUGAUAUAAGGAUUUUACCUAGAGAGGGAUAAUACAAUUGGGCGCAACCGACAACAGCGUCAGUGCUUUCGUUCAGAGGAUUUGUGUCCAAUCUUUCCAAAACAGAAGUACGAGAAGGAAUAGAAACCAACACAUUUGAAAGUUCAUCCUCAUCAUUCUCUUCCUCGUUGUUCAAAAAUUCACUGUUUUCGAAAUUAAGAUUUAGAUCUCUAGCCCAAGAUUCAAUAUCAACUACAUGUAAGCCGUUGGCAUGAUAUGCGAUUAAAGAAUACGGAGACUGAAUAUCUGGUUGUAAUACCAUAUAAGGGUUAUUGUUAGAAAGAUACAGUGAAUGAACUUGUGAAACAAUAAGUUUCAUAGAUGCUAAACCAUGAUCAUUAAGUUUAGACCAUCGUCCGCUAACUUCUGACACUAAGAGCAAAAGAUCAAGGCGACCCUCGGAACCACCAAUGGCGAGUACGUCAAUUGGGUUCAUACCAAAAGAAUAAAUAUCACAAUAGUCUUCAAUAAGCUCAUCAUCAGCUACAGCUGGUUGUAGAAGAAAGGGUCCUUGCAUAGAAGGUAUAAAUGAAAAAUCAUCUGGUCUACGAACAGAUACAUAAUCAGAUGAAUCAAAAAGUUCAGAGCUACCUUCGGAUAUAACAAAUGAGGUACUUAAAUCGUUUGCAAGUGCUGCUUCGCCUAAUAGUUUAGUAAUCCAAUGAACAUUUCUACGAUGAUUUUCCGCAUCAGCAUCGUCCUCUUUUUUAGUUAAAAUUAAUCUAAUUUGUUUCAAAACGUCUUGGGGUAUCAUUGCAUUUGCUGGCAUUACCGGGCAAACGCUAAAAACAUCUCCUCCUCGGGUCAGAAUAUAAAUUGUAAAUACCCCCCACCCUUGAGAAACAUUGCUAAAGCAAAAAGCGGUCGGUAUAUGCAAAUCUACAUCGGCAUCAAAUGAAUUGGAAGCCUGAUGCGUCAAUUUAAGAGGAAUCUCAUAAUCGGGCAUUAACACUCCAUUUCCAGCCUCAUAAAGCAAGAGUGAAGUUUCAGUUAAUACAACCAAAGAUCUUCCGGACUUCCCCAGUGGGUGAAAUCGAACGGAGACAAUUUGAGAAGAAGGAUUAAUAACUGCAACCGAACAAAUGGUAACCUCCGAUAAUUUUAAUGAGUUAGUCCCGUUUUCCUGGUGUUCUGAAUUUGAAAAAUUGUUAACAGAUUCACCAAAGUUUGAAACGGACUCUGCAAGUGGAUUUUGUUCAGAUAACUUUGAUCUCAAACCCAGUAUAACAAUUUUUGAUUUUCCUACCACUGCUAGAAAUCGGCCAUUUUUACUAAGGCAAAUCUGUUCAAUCAUAAAGUCUAAUUCUGGAUUAAAAAGUUUUUUGUAAAAAUUCUUAUGAGAUGCUUCAUUUUUAUGUUUUAAGAGUCGACAAUCCAAGCUUCUGACUUCUUGCCCCACAGCAACGUACAGAAACGACUCAAACGCGCAAAGAUGCUUGGGAAAAAUUUCCCAAUCCUCAGGAAUAGGUUUAAUCCAUCGUAGGGCAGGAUGCUUUUCCAAAAUGUCUGUCCAUGAUACCUCUUGAGACAUGAUGGUUGAUGCCAUUUUGUUAGUCUUCUGCGAGUAUUAAAUAAGGAGGAAGAAUGCGUCGCUAAAUAAAUGUAAAAAGUAAUACAUGUGUACUUUGAAUAUUAGAAUAUACCAUAAUUAUUUGUACCUAGCUUGUUAUAGGUAAAUUAAAAGAACCAGAUCUUUGGAGCCUUUUCCUCUUUCUAGCGAAAUGCAGCAUAUGGUGUAAUAGUGCUUGAAUGCUACUUCUUUUAAAAACAUUUAAAUGAUUUUAGUUUG
This 1856-nucleotide long non-coding RNA is filed under the name Schizosaccharomyces pombe (fission yeast). Lineage: Eukaryota; Fungi; Ascomycota; Schizosaccharomycetes; Schizosaccharomycetales; Schizosaccharomycetaceae. The record is from RNAcentral.